GUUUUAGUACUUUGGGAAUUAGAGACUCUAUACAUUACUCAUUGCAUCCUUUGGAUCACUUAGAUUUGCUGAUAAAGCAUUUUUUUCAGGUGAUCUUUGAGUUGGAAUCUCCACAUGUCGACCUUUUGCUUCGGUCAGUGGAUCAGGAAGACUUCACAUGCGGUUCAAAUUAUUCCAAAGUCAAUCAGUUGUAGCUGUUUAGUUGUGCAGUAGCCAAUAUUUGACCAAUCAUGCUUUUGGGAAUAACAAAAUAUUGGUAGUACAACAAAAUCUAAAUAACAGUUUAUAACAUAAUUAAUAGAUGAAUUGAGAAAAAAAGACUAUGCCAUACAUUAAUAGAUGAAGUGAGAAAAAAGAAUGAGCCAUUUGUCAAUGAUAACUCAUCGUGGAUAGUUCUGAUUCUAGGUCUUACCGCAACGAGGAGAGUAAAUAAUUUGUUUGUUGCCACUUAUGAACUUUCAAAGAACUAAACUCUCACCAGUUUAUAUACACAAAAUGAAAAUAAAUAUUAAAAAUGAACUUUGGGAAUUAGAGACUCUAUACAUUACUCAUUGCAUCCUUUGGAUCACUUAGAUUUGCUGAUAAAGCAUUUUUUUCAGGUGAUCUUUGAGUUGGAAUCUCCACAUGUCGACCUUUUGCUUCGGUCAGUGGAUCAGGAAGACUUCACAUGCGGUUCAAAUUAUUCCAAAGUCAAUCAGUUGUAGCUGUUUAGUUGUGCAGUAGCCAAUAUUUGACCAAUCAUGCUUUUGGGAAUAACAAAAUAUUGGUAGUACAACAAAAUCUAAAUAACAGUUUAUAACAUAAUUAAUAGAUGAAUUGAGAAAAAAAGACUAUGCCAUACAUUAAUAGAUGAAGUGAGAAAAAAGAAUGAGCCAUUUGUCAAUGAUAACUCAUCGUGGAUAGUUCUGAUUCUAG
This 915-nucleotide long non-coding RNA is filed under the name Brassica napus (rape). Its description in RNAcentral is "long non-coding RNA (BNAP_LNC018947)". The record is from RNAcentral. Lineage: Eukaryota; Viridiplantae; Streptophyta; Magnoliopsida; Brassicales; Brassicaceae.